AGAGUUUGAUCCUGGCUCAGGAUGAACGCUAGCGGCAGGCUUAACACAUGCAAGUCGAGGGGCAGCGCGUUGUAGCAAUACGAUGGCGGCGACCGGCGAAAGGGUGCGUAACGCGUGAGCAACCUGCCCGUAUCCGGGACAUAAGCGGUGGAAACGCCGUCUAAUUUCCCAUAACAACGAGGGCCGCAUGGUCCAUGUUUGAAAGAUGCGUCGGAUACGGAUGGGCUCGCGAGACAUUAGCUAGUCGGCGUGGUAACGGCACACCGAGGCGACGAUGUCUAGGGGUUCUGAGAGGAAGGUCCCCCACACUGGAACUGAGACACGGUCCAGACUCCUACGGGAGGCAGCAGUGAGGAAUAUUGCGCAAUGGGCGGAAGCCUGACGCAGCGACGCCGCGUGAGGGAUGAAGGUUUUCGGAUCGUAAACCUCUGUUAAGCAGGGAAGAGAACGGACGGUACCUGCUGAGGAAGCAUCGGCUUACUACGUGCC
Molecule: ribosomal RNA, 489 nt
Filed under: uncultured organism
Description: SSU rRNA
Rfam family: Bacterial small subunit ribosomal RNA
Source: RNAcentral